Long non-coding RNA from Dromiciops gliroides (monito del monte), 803 nucleotides. RefSeq lists it as uncharacterized. The transcript has 3 exons. Lineage: Eukaryota; Metazoa; Chordata; Mammalia; Microbiotheria; Microbiotheriidae. The record is from RefSeq and is a predicted model, not a curated record.
GUUUGCAAAGGCAGAGGCAGGAGAGAGUACUCUGGGCUUGUCGGGAGUGGUGCAGGAAUGAAGAGAGUCUCUGCAAAACCUCAAAGACAGAAAGAAAUGGAAUGCUGCAUCUGGGGAACAGUGAAAGAAUGACAAGAUUACUGAUGGCUCAGCAAUCACAUAUGAAAAUACUUUCAGUAACCUGGAACACAGUUCAUCCAGAUCCUACAACUUGAACACAUGAAGAGGAAGUGAGAAGAAAGUCACUAAGCCAGAAUGGAAACCAAGAAAACUGGGAGGCAGAGAUGAGCAGGGAGAAGAUUCCAGCCAUGGGAGAUAGCCAGUGACAAUGCAAAGUUGGGAGAUAGAUAGGGACAGCAAGGAGUCAUUGGAUCUAGAAAGACUAGAAAGGUUGGAAGGGGGCAGGUUAUGAAGGGCUUUAAAAGACAAACAGAAAAUUUUUAUUUGAUCCUGAAGGUAAUAGGGAGCCACUGGAGUUCACUGUCAGCCAAUCAAUAAACUUUUUUUCUUCUUUAAUUGUAAUCUUUUUAAAUAAACAUUUUUAUUUAAAAUUUUAUAUUCCAAAUUCUAUCCCUCCCUCUCUUCCUCCUCCCCUAGGUGGUAAACAAUUAGAUAUGUUAUAAAUGGGCAAUUAUGUAAAACAUUACCAUAUUAGUACUUUUGGAUAAGAAGAAUAAAAGAAAAAAUGAAAGAAAGUGAAAAAUAGCAUAUUUUAGUCUGUGUACAAUCAAUCUUAGUUCUUUCUUUGGAGGUGGAUAGUAUGCUUCAUCAUUAGUCCUUUGGGAUUGAGAUGGAAGGUGAUC